This 309-nucleotide ribosomal RNA is filed under the name uncultured bacterium. RNAcentral describes it as "partial 16S ribosomal RNA". It matches the Rfam family "Bacterial small subunit ribosomal RNA", at positions 504 to 808 of the family's 1533-position model. The record is from RNAcentral.
AGAGACAGCAGUCGCCGCGGGAAUACGAAGGGUGCAAGCGUUACUCGGAAUUACUGGGCGUAAAGCGUGCGUAGGUGUGGUUUAAGUCCGUUGUGAAAGCCCUGGGCUCAACCUGGGAAUUGCAGUGGAUACUGGAUCACUAGAGUGUGGUAGAGGAUAGUGGAAUUUCCGGUGUAGCAGUGAAAUGCGUAGAGAUCGGAAGGAACAUCUGUGGCGAAGGCGACUAUCUGGGCCAACACUGACACUGAGGCACGAAAGCGUGGGGAGCAAACAGGAUUAGAUACCCCAGUAGUCCCUGUCUCUUAUACA